This is an RNA transcript of Rhinopithecus roxellana (golden snub-nosed monkey), 2200 nucleotides long. RefSeq lists it as uncharacterized. NCBI's taxonomy places the organism in Eukaryota, Metazoa, Chordata, Mammalia, Primates, Cercopithecidae. The transcript is spliced from 7 exons. The record is from RefSeq and is a predicted model, not a curated record.
GGAGACUUCAGGGCCCAGAGCGUUCCUGUCACCAAAGUCUCCCCUGGCUUCUGCAGAACUUUGGUCAUCUAGGUGAGGGACCACAGGCCAGCCAGCUGUUCCCUCCAGACGUCUCCGGAAACCUCUGAGUCCCUUGGAAGGUAACAAACUCAGACCAAGACUGAACUGGAGGUGUCUUGAUGGUCAAAAGUCUGGAGAGUCAGAGAGGAGAGGAAGGGAUUUGGUCUUUGCCUGUUGGAUGGCCAGGAAAUAACAGCUUUGAAGAGGCUGCUCAAGGUGGCAGCAACCCUCAACCAUAGCAGAAAGGGAGCUGACUGGUGCAUAUUUCAGCUUCCUCCACCUUGAGUGAGGCAAUUCUGAGAUGUGCCGUCCACCUUCUCCCAGAACUCCCCAGUGGAAUUGUGACCCAGGUGCCCAUGGUCACUGCUAGGCUGCUUCUGGAGAAACCCAAAAGUAGACUCUUGUGUGAAGAACAAAGACACACAGCUUUAGCCUGGGGAUGGACACCUCCCAGCAGCCCUGGCUGCCACUCACUGCUGUGCUGCAGCUUGAGCCCUCAGAGGGGAAGAUCUGCUGAAGAGAGGGAGAAGUCCUUGCAGUCCCUUGGCAAAGCAGGUGCUACCUCUGUGGCUCUGGAGAGCAGAGAAUUCACUGAAGGACAUGAGAUGCCCAGUGGCUCCCCCAUGCCAACCUACCCCAAUACUCCCAACUCAAGAGAAAAGAGAUAAGAAUACCGAUGCUCAGAGCAGUCGACUGAACACCUGGAAGUCACACAUACUGAAAGUGGCAAAGCAGGAUCUGCCCCUGCUCUGUCUGAUGCUAACAGGACUGCUGAGGUCUCCCCUUCACCUCACCUCAAGUUGACAUUCAGCCCAUGGAAAUAGACCUCUAAGCCAGCCUUUCUUGCUAGUUUGGUUUUAGCCUCUCCUGGUCCUCAGCUUUGCCAUCUGUGAAAUAUGUGAGUGGUCUAGAUAGUGCCUGAAACCUACCAGCUCCAAGUCUAUGGCCCACGGAUGGGCUGUGAGGAAAAACAAGGCUGAGGCGGGUUUUCACUCCGUUCCUGGAAUAUCUGGUCAUCCUUCCAGGGUUCUUCAUGGCAGGGAAACAAAAUAAACAACUGAACAACAUGAGGUUCAGGAGAUUUAAGUCUGAGUUCCGAUGUUGGCUUUGGGUGCCUCUAACCAACCACAAAUCUAUCCCAAGCCCAAGGCAGGCUUGUCUUACUCAACAUUUAUGGGGUCUUGCAGGGCUUAUGAGUGAGCUCAUGUGGGUGGGCUGUGGGUACCACAGGACCAGCACAGAUUACUCCAGCACAUUGUCCAGCCACGAGACAGAAUUUCCCUCUUACGGAUCCACUGAAUAGCCCUGGCCUGUGGAUUUGCUGUAAAGAUGCAAAAACCCUGAGGCAUUAUCAGCCAAACCUCAGCCCUGGCCAUAGUUAGGUUGACAACAAGGGAGGCAACAGGAGAGGGAGAGAAAAGGGCCUCUCGUCGUGGAACUGGGGCAGUGGUGGGCAGGGGCUGAAGCAGGAGGGGUGCCAUGGCCCACCUGCUCUUCACCCACGGUCCUUACACAGACCUGAUCCUGCUAAUUCUGACUCAGCUUUCAUACUCAGCCUGCAGACACUCAAUUUUUAGUAAUAAGCAGUCUCCUGAUAAUUUACUAUAGAGAAAAAUAAAUUUUUAAAAGAUAUUAAUAGUUGGCAUCAGAGUCACUUCACUUCAUUUAUUCAUUUUUACAACAAACAUCUAUUGAGCCCCUGGGAUGCGCUUGCGCUCUUUUGGGCUGUGCAGAUGUAACAGUAAAGAUAACAAAGUUCCUGUCCUACUCAAGUUUCCAUUCUGAUGCAGAGAAAGACAAUUACAAAUCAAAAAUAUGUAUAAUAUCAGUUAAGGAUUGGUGCUUGGAAUAAAAUAAAGAAGUAGAGAGGAGGAACUUGGCCAUUUUUGAUAUGAUGGUUCAAGAAGCCUACUGAGGUAACAUGUAGCAGAGAUGUGUUUUAGGAAAUGACUUUGAUCAGCAACAUGAGAUUGGUACUGGAAUAUCGAGGAUAUAAUUAUGUAAGAGACAAUAAAUCAGAAGGUAUUAACACUAAAGAUGGAUUCAUGGUUGAAGGGUGGGGAGAAAAGAGAAAAAAGAGCAAGAUUCAUGACAAAGAAGUCAGACAACUACAAUUCUAAAUUGUUUGUCUUACUAUGAA